ACGUUAUAAAAGAGAAUGCAUUCGUCCACCUUGAAUAUUAUUCAUGUUCUGGUUAAAAAAGGCCCUAAUGAUUUAUGCUAUACAACGUUUGACGUGUUUGAACGAACGUAAAUAUAUUUUUUCCCCUCGUUCAUGAAGUGAAGUCCGGCGGGCUUAGAUCAUGUGCUAACAAGACGGAGAUUUUUGGACAUAAAUGAUGAGCUUUUUUGAACAAAACUACAUUCGUUAUGGACCUGUGAUACCUGGAAGUGACAUCUGAUGAAGAGAAUCAAAGCUGCUCUGUCAGAAACAACUUGAAGCACUGCCUCAGAUGGAAAUGGCAAGGGCCGUUGCACUCCAGACUGGGACUCAUCAACGCAAACAGCAGGGCCAGGAGGGGUGAAAUGGCUGGCAGCCUUCCAGCUACCACAGAACUCUUGUACUUCAUCCACUAUCGGUCUGCCUCCAUCACCACCAGCAUCUUCAAAUGGAACUAGGACUUUGUCAGUGGACAAUGGGUCCUCAGAUUCAAGGUUCUCAAUGGCUGGGUUCUCAGCUCCUCACUGUAACUGUCAGAAUCUGAUUCCUGACUUUCAGACUCAUUGUCAGAAUUUUUUUACAUCUCCAGAAUUUCCCAAUUUUGUGAGUUGUCUCCUUUUGAAAGGCAUUGCUAAUGCUACAGCUUCUCAUUAGCUACAUACAUAAACAA
RNAcentral lists this long non-coding RNA (688 nucleotides) under Salmo salar (Atlantic salmon). RNAcentral's name for it is "lncRNA (ENSSSAG00000105882.1, ENSSSAG00020047012.1, ENSSSAG00075040746.1)". Lineage: Eukaryota; Metazoa; Chordata; Actinopteri; Salmoniformes; Salmonidae. The record is from RNAcentral.